Molecule: ribosomal RNA, 171 nt
Filed under: uncultured bacterium
Lineage: Bacteria
Description: partial 16S ribosomal RNA
Rfam family: Bacterial small subunit ribosomal RNA
Source: RNAcentral
AAUUGCUAGUAAUCGCGGAUCAGCAUGCCGCGGUGAAUACGUUCCCGGGGAUUGUACACACCGCCCGUCACACCAUGAGAGUCGGGAACACCCAAAGUCCGUAGUCUAACCGCAAGGAGGACGCGGCCUAAGGUGGGUUCGAUAAUUGGGGUGAAGUCGUAACAAGGUAGC